GAUAGGCAGUACCUAGAUCUCCACAUGAAAAACAUGUGCAGGGAAGGGUAUGAGUACACAAUAACGGUACUCAGUAAGUGCCAAGCCUAACCUCGGUCGAGUAGUGACGAUAUCAAGUCAGGAUCCUACUGGUAUAAAUAUAAUGGAAUAAGACAAAAAGAAAUAUUACAGCAAAAUAAAUACAAAAAAUCUUACAGGAAUAGAAUUCAAUGAAAGCUAACAGCUCAGAACACGGUAAUAGCAAUAGGUGAUCUCCCAAGAUACCGUAUCAUAGUUCCAAACGUAAAUGUGUAGGGGAAUAUCUAGAAAUACCGUUCCGUAUUCCCAAAGUAUAUAUAUAGUGCUGGAGGAUCUUAUGGAAUACCAUUUCGUAAUCCCAAAGUAAAUAUGCAGUACAAGGGGAUCUCUCGGAAUACCCUUUUGUCGUCCCAAAGUAUAUAUGUAACUCAACCAAUAUAAAUAUCAGUCACAGCAAGAAAAUCGACAGAUUAGAUUAAGUUCAAAUCAAGAACCCAGGUAAUUUCGCUAAACAUGCUGCACAGAGUUCAAUUAGGCAGUUAAAAACACGUAGGCAUGCUUGUCUAAUCUAAACAUGAUAGUGCAUAUGCUAAUGUAAUUCAGAAAAGGAGAAAAAAAGGUUAUGACUUAGUGAAAAAUGGAGUUUUAAAACAAAUAGCACAUCUACGUACACGGUGCUUAGAUAUCAAACAGUACAAAAUCCUAAGAGGAGUUCCCCCACACAAGCUUAGGCAAGUCAUUUAUCGCAAAUCAAGCUCAAUUUAUUCAUAAUAAUUCUAUUCUACAAAUAUCCAGCUCCGGAUGGCCCAAAUCUGUCCAAAACCAAAUAUAUAACAUAAUAUAGUUGUAAGAAACUAAUCUAGAUAGCAAAACUAAAAAUAAGACAAGAAAUUAGAAAAAUGCCCGAAAAAGCCUCAUCGGGAACAUGCCUCAGAAAUGGGUAUAAGUUACAAAUUAUGAACACCCAUUUACUCAAGAGUUCACUUGUACCAAAAGUAUCCGAAUCCGAUGUCUAAAUCCCACUCAAAAUUUAGAAAAUCGAUUAGGGAACUUUUCCCCAAUUGUCCCAACUUUCUCACUCAAAAUCCUUGAUUAAAUGAAGAAAACAAUAAUAAAUUAAUGAAAUAUAAAAAAAAACGAGUAAGGAAUCGCUACCCACAAGAUUUCUCUAAAAAUAUUCAAAUUAUCGCCUAAAUCCAAGCUCUCAAAAUCAAAUGGUAAAGAAUGACAUAAACCCUCAAGUUGGCCCCCUUUCUGCUAGUUAGACCGAACCUGCGGUCCAUUCAUCGCACAUGUGGUACCGUACCUGCGGAAAAUUAAUCGCAGGUGCAAAAUAUCACUUAAGCCCUCACGGCCACAUCUGCGAUAAAAAGGCCACACCUGCGCGUGCGCGCCUGCGGAAAGUCUCUUGCUUCUGCGGUCCUUGGUCACUACUGUGGUAUCCACAGAUGCGGAAAUAACCUCGCACCUAUGUUACCACCCUGGGCUACCCAAUUUCGCUCAUGUGCUCCAAGUCCUGCUUCUGUGGGCUCGCACUGUCACGACCCCAGUUCGCCCUCUGUGAAUUAUUGUGAUGGCACCUAGUCAUCUACGACUAGGUAAGCCUAACAAUGCGAAAAACAAUUGAGACUUUGCCGAAACAUAACUUAAAACCAAAAUUUAACGAAAUGAAAAUGAAAUAUAAAAUGCCACUCGGCAUAUAUAAUACAACAACUCAAACUUCUACAAAACUAUCCAAAACCCAAAAAUUCACGGGAACACAAGGUAGAAGAAAUACAGUAAGGUGCUCUAAUCUCUAGAAAUGUCUAUAUCAAUAGUACUAAAGAAGGGAUAAUACCACAAGAUAGAGUUAAGAAGGAGACUCUUCUAUUUGUGGAUGCGGCAGAUGUACCUCGAAGUCUCCAAUGCUCUCCCUGCCUCAAGGAUGGUAAGCAUAUGUGGAGGUACCUGGAUCUGCACAUAAAAAACAUGUGCAGAAAGGGCAUGAGUACACCACAUCAGUAGUCAAUUAGUGACAAGCCUAACCUCGGUCGGGUAGUGACGAGAAAGGUCAGGGCCCUACUGAUAUAAAUAAAUAAUAAAUGAUAGGAUAUGUAAGCAUUACAAAUUAGAAUCUAAAGUAAAAAUCUAAACAGGAUAGUAAGGAUACAGUAAUGGAAAACAUAAAUAAGGCAAACACCAGGAAAUACCGCUCCGACAAGGAUGAUAAUCGGGGAUCUCUUGGUAUCCCAAGGAUCUCUUAGUAUCCUCAUCAUAUACACUAUAGAUCUCUUGGUAUCCCCGGGAUCCCUGGGUAUCCUCAAUAAAUAUGCCAGGGAUCUCUUGGUAUCCCGAAGAUCUCUUGGUAUCCUUAAUAAAUAUGUCAGGGAUCGAGUAUCCUCAAUAAAUAUGCCAGGGAUCUCUUGGUAUCCCGAGUAUAUCUUGGUAUCCUUAAUAAAUAUUCCAGUGAUCUCUUAGUAUCCCGCACCUCAGUACAGAUUAUAAACAUGUGCAGAGGAUCUCCCGGGAUGCCUUCCCAAAUGUAAACACACAACAUCAACUCAAGAAUAUUAGAAUAAAGGCUGAACUCGUAAAAAGUAACAGUUAAUUCUAGCCUAACAUGUUUCACGAAAUACAAUUAAGUCAGCUUAAGCAAAUAGGCAAUUAAGUCAACUAAGCAUGCUUUUCUAAACUAAUACACGCUACAUUUGCAAGUAGAAAUAAAUAGGUAAGGAAAGAACUCUGUUUAAAUACUUAAAAUAAAAUUGGAUUUUCAACAAUUAGCUCAAGUACACACUUGUCACCGCACGUACAAGGUGUUCAAAUACCAAACAUCAUAUCGUAAGGGGAAAGGACCCCCCCACAAAGUUAGACAAGUCACUUACCUCGAACAUGCUCAGAUUCAACUAGGAACCACACUUUUUCCACGGGUAUCCGACUACAGAUGGACCAACUCUAUUCAAUUCAAUUACAUAUUGUAAAUAACAUCUCAAGCAACUGAUUCUACGAUUUAAUUCAAAGCUAAGACACAAAAUUAGGUAAAAUGACCAAGAUGCCCCUCAGGCCAACGUCUUAGAAUUGGGUGAAAUUAAUAUUUUUAGAAACCUUGUACUCUCAGGAGUCUAAUCAUAUAAAAAUCUCUCAAAUCGAAUAUCAAAAACCCAAUCAAAACCAAAUAAUUCAACAUUUGAAGUUUUAUCCAGCUUUUCUAAAUUUUUAAUCUUAAAUCCGAAUUUAAAUGGUGAAAUUAACUAUAGAUUGAUGGAAUAUAACUAGAAAAGAUUAAACAAUCAUUACCCAGUGAUCUCCUCUUCAAAUCCCUCUUAAAAUUGCCCUCUCCCGAGCUCCAAUUCAAUUUUUUAACUUUUGAAACUAAACCCUCGAAAUUUUAUAUUUCUGCCCUGUGAUUUCUGCAUGUGCGGUCCCGCUUCUGCGAAACAUAUGUCGCAUCUGCGACUUUCGUUAAAUAGCCUAGGAGUUGUAUCUGCGAUACCUCUUUCGCAGAUGCGAACCGCAUCUGCGGUGAAACUUUUGCAUCUAUGAAAACUGAAGGAACACCCAAAAUCUGCAUAUGCGCUUGCCUUACCUCUUCUGCGGCUUCACACCUGCGGAACCCAAACCGCAGGUAUGGUUAUGAUAGACACCGGGAAUUUUUAUGAAAUCUCUAGCUCCAAAAUCUUUCCAUCAACCCUCCGAAAUCAUCCCGAGGCCCCCGGGACCCCAACAUAACCUAAAAUAUCAUUUUGAACUUAUUCCAACCUUCGGAACACUACAAAUAACACCAAAACACAUAUUUUUCAUCGAAUUCAAGCAUAAAUUUUUCCAAAAACUCUAAAACACAUUUUCAAACAAAAGGUCUACCAAAUUCGUCAGAAUGACCCAAAAUUUUAUACACCCAUCCCAAAUGACAUGACAAAACUACUGCAAUUUCAAAAAUUCCAUUCUGGCCCUCAGAUUAAAAUCUCACUAUCGAACCAGAAACAUCCAAAAUUCAAACUUCGACAUUUCAAGUCUAAAUUAGCUACAGACCUUCAAAAGACAAUCCGAAUACGCUCCCAACCCCAAAAUUACCCAACAGCGCUAACGAAACUAUCAGAUUUCCAUUUUGAGACCGUCUUCUCACUGUCCCGACGGUUAAUUUUCUAGCACUUAAGCUCUCAUUUAGGGACUAAGUGUCCCAGAACUCUCCGAAACUCGCACCGAACAUCCCGGCUAACCAAAUUAGAAAAAAUAGACUUGGGGAAAGUAGUUAAUAGGGGAUCGGGGCGUUAAAUUCUUCAAACGACAGGCCGGGUCAUCACACGCACUUGCGGUGGCCUCUCCGCAGGUGCGACUACACCAUCACCUGAAAAUCUUCAACAGUGGCCUAAGUCCAAUUUUCAUCUCAUUGAGCAUCCGAAACACACCCGGGGCCCCGGGGACCUCAAUCGAACACACCAACAAUUCCUAAAACACCAUCAAACGUAGUUGAGCCCUCAAAUCACAUCAAAUAAUACUAAAAUCACAAAUCAUCCUCCAAUUCAAACUUAAAAAACAUGAAACUUUAAAAUUCUACAACCGAUGUCGAAACCUGUCAAACUACGUCCAAUUGACUUUUCAAAUUUUGCAGACAAGUCAUAUUCAACCCUACGAACCUAAUCCAACUUCAAUAAUCAGAUUAAGACACACGAUAUAAAAAAUUCCACUACCGGCAAAAAAUUUUAAAAAUUUAACUUUUGCCAUUUCAAGCCUAAAUGAGCUACAGAUCUCAAAAAUACAAUUCGGAUACGCCCCUUAGACCAAUCACUCGACGAAGCUAACAAAAUCGACGAAACUCUAUUCUGUAGUCGUCUUCACACAAUUUUAACUUUGGUCCAAAUUCUAAGUCUUAAGCCUCCGUUUUAGGGACUAAGUCUCCUAAACACUUCCAAUAAAAAACAAAAUGAACCUCCCGGCAAGUCACAAUUGUAGAAAUAGAUACAGAAAAAGUAAUUAAUAAGGGAUCAGGGCUCUAACUCUCAAAAUGACCGAUCGGGACGUUACAUCUGGAUAACCCACCAAUUUGUAGCAACUCUCCCUUUUGUGUUUCAUAUUGCAAUAAUCACAGUAUAAUCCAUUUGGUUUCUUAAACCUAUUUUUCUAUAUAUCAGCAAGAGUUGUAGGAUCAUUCAAAUCUUGAUUUUGUAAUGGUGAGCACACUGUGUUAUCAUAUUUGACUGCAUUCAUUGGCUUUCAUCUUGAAUGAGCAUAUUUUAGGCUCGGUUCAGUGAUGUACUUGGAACUAUCAUCAAAAUUUGGUUGUGUGACUGUGCAUAAGUUUCAUUUAAGCCCAUCGCAAAAAUUGCAAUAGCUUCUGUUGUUCUGUAUGAUCUGUAUAAGCCCUGACAUUCCUAGGCAUUGGAACUAGUGAAAGGUAGUCAUCCCAAACAUUAUGCAACUUAGAGAAGUAAUCACAUAUAGUAGAAUCCCUUAUGUCAUAUUGUGGAUUUCUCUAUGUAACUGAUAGAUUCGUGUAAGAUUUCUUUUAUCAAAACGCUCUUUCAAGUCCAUCCAAACUUUAUGAGCAUUAUAUGAAUACUUAAUCUAUUUCCUAGUUCCCUUGAUACUAAAUUUGGGAUCCAUGUCAGGACAAAAGCAUUGCACCUAUCACAUUCAUGUACUAGGUCUUCUUUAUAAUAUUUCUUUCAACAGCUGCCAUCAUUAAACCCUAGUUUAUUUUUUGCUAACAAUGCACCUUCAUAGAAUUAUUCAAUGUAGUGUAAUUUUCUAUACCAGUUAACUAUUGAAGGAUUAGGAUUAAACCUGGAGUAUCAGAUGGAUGUAGAUACAGAGGAUUCCUUGGGUGAAUAUCGGUGAAUCGUUCGACCGGAUCUCUAGUAAUAGGUACUGGAUCUUCAGCGUCAAUCGACAUUUGUACAAAAUUACCUGAAAUGAUUGAAGCAAUUUGAAAUUGUAGCUAUAAGGAGCUUAGGAUUCCAGAAAUUGAACUAACUUUUAUGUAAAAAAAGAAAAAAGAUACAAAAAGACAUGUGAAGAAAGAAGAAGCUUUAGACAUCACAAUAAUAGCAUAAAUUAGGGUUUGCUAUGUUCCGAAAAUCAUUCUCUGCUCAGCGAUUGUUCUUAGUUGCUCAUCUUUCAGCUCAAAAUUCCGCCGGUCGAUUUGCUGUGGUACUAUGUUAAAAGGAGAAAUGGAGUUGGGUUAGAGAGUGAGAGCUUGGGUUAGUUACAGAGAGAAGAAGAGAGAAAAUCUCAAUUGUAU
Molecule: long non-coding RNA, 6235 nt
Filed under: Nicotiana benthamiana
Lineage: Eukaryota; Viridiplantae; Streptophyta; Magnoliopsida; Solanales; Solanaceae
Description: long non-coding RNA (NBEN_LNC013455)
Source: RNAcentral